AGUUUUUAAUUUGUGCGAGUGAAACAGAGAAAAACACUUUGGAGGGUUUUUACGUUAAUUUAGUGUGAAAACAACAAACAGCAGCACUUCAUGAUGAAAGAGUGUCUGUGACGUUCCCGUUCAACUGUGACAGAAAUUAUGGAAGCUCAUUUCUGCCAGUAAAGGAAGAAAAGUUCAUCUUUUUAUCUCAUAAUUUUGAUUUAGUUAGUGAAGAGGAGAUCAUUAUCUCUGACGCCAGAGGAGAAAGCGGCUGCAGAACCUGCCUGAGAAUCCUGCUGUUUCUAAGUUUCCUUCAGUCUCACAGUGAUCCAGAGACAGCUGUCUGUCCGUCCACGGGUCCACUGCAGACAGGAGCUGCUGACUGCUGGUUCGGCUGCUCUGACGGGACAGUCUGACUGCAUGUAGGCUAAAAAAACGGAGUUCAAUUUUGUCAGCAGAGGGGUGUUGGAAAGUCAUCCAAUAUGAGUGUAACAAUGCGGGAUACUGCGCAGGUUUGACUGCAUUGGCAGAAUGUGGCUUUAAUCUGUUUCUGUGUUGAUGAGCUCGCUCAGUGUCAUUUUAAACCAAUCACUUUUUAAAGUAAAUUCAGCCUCUGUGUCGUAAUAACUCCCCUCCUGUGUGCGUUUCCUCCCGGGGUCGGGCAGGUCCGGGGUGCGGUGCACUGUUGUCACGUCCCCCUCCAAUAUUGCACUCGUCCCGGCCUCCCCGGCCCAGGGGCCACGACCCCCCCACCACCUCCAGACAGCAGGAGAGAAACAUCGCUGGAGCUCAGAGACGAGGUGGGACAGAGAAAACAGACUUGUUACUGUGAUGUUCCUACAGAGACGCAAACUAAGACUUCAUUUCACUCCAUCGCACUCAGAAUCAGCUCAUGCUAGCAGCGCCGCUCUCACUGAGGUCCGGACUGAAACCUCGCAGCUGCUGGACUGCGAUGAGACGCGCUUCAUCGUUCAUGCUGCCCUCAGGAUGAACUGAUCCUCUGACUUUCCAUCUAGCGCCACCAUCAGGUCGACGUGUUAGCAUGCUAACAUGCUAAACUAAGACGGUGAACGUGGUAAACAUCAUAACUAAACAUUAGCAUGUUAGCAUUGUCACUGAUGGCCAUGUAAACUUCCACGAUGGAGGAGUCACUCGAGUGUUUUUAGUGUGAAAAGUCAUGGGCGGGGCUUUAUUUCAACAGAGAUAUGUACAAACACACACAGAAACAUGUAAAAGGAACAUUCCACUGUUUUCCACUUUUCAUUUGAAUCUCCGUAACGUUAGCUUAGCAUUCCCCAGCAGGGCUGCGGGAGACGAACUGUUUGUUCUUCAGUUAAACUCAACAGAACUGAACUUAUCUGAGUCUGAACUGUUCUGACUAAAAGACAAAGUUUCAUUCAUUGCGUCAUUUACAGAGACACUGACGUGAUGAGACGACAUCAGACCGGAUCCUCGAAACGUUCAGGAACAUUUGGGGAUGAACUCUUCAGAUGUGUUGACAGCAGUUUGUCCUUUUAAACCAGAUUAGCACCAACUCUGAGCGCAGAGCUCAGACGACACACACGGAGCCGCAGGGUCGACCUCUACAGCUGCGUUCAGGUGCGUUCAGGUCAUAAAAUCUUCUCCUUGGCGUCCUGGAGCCUUCCUGGAAAACCUUGAAAUGACCCUUGGAGGUCUUUGGGGCCACUGUCAGAAACUCUACAGGCUGCAGUCACUGUGACUCCAGGUGACAUGCUUCACUGAGGGCAGGUCUGUUGCCGGGCAACAGCAGCGCUGCUCAGUGUUCACGUCAGAGGGUCACCUGGUUAAGAACCACCCAGUUGGGGUCGAUCUGGGCGUCGCCCUCUGGGUCCAGGAUGACUGUCUGAUAGGCUCGGAAGUCUGUCAGAG
This is a long non-coding RNA of Siniperca chuatsi (mandarin fish), 1869 nucleotides long. RefSeq lists it as uncharacterized. Lineage: Eukaryota; Metazoa; Chordata; Actinopteri; Centrarchiformes; Sinipercidae. The transcript has 3 exons. The record is from RefSeq and is a predicted model, not a curated record.